This 497-nucleotide ribosomal RNA is filed under the name uncultured bacterium. Its description in RNAcentral is "partial 16S ribosomal RNA". It matches the Rfam family "Bacterial small subunit ribosomal RNA", at positions 28 to 507 of the family's 1533-position model. The record is from RNAcentral.
GAUGAACGCUGGCGGCGUGCCUAAUACAUGCAAGUCGAGCGAACAGACGAGGAGCUUGCUCCUCUGACGUUAGCGGCGGACGGGUGAGUAACACGUGGAUAACCUACCUAUAAGACUGGGAUAACUUCGGGAAACCGGAGCUAAUACCGGAUAAUAUAUUGAACCGCAUGGUUCAAUAGUGAAAGACGGUUUUGCUGUCACUUAUAGAUGGAUCCCGGCCGCAUUAGCUAGUUGGUAAGGUAACGGCUUACCAAGGCAACGAUGCGUAGCCGACCUGAGAGGGUGAUCGGCCACACUGGAACUGGGACACGGUCCAGACUCCUACGGGAGGCAGCAGUAGGGAAUCUUCCGCAAUGGGCGAAAGCCUGACGGAGCAACGCCGCGUGAGUGAUGAAGGUCUUCGGAUCGUAAAACUCUGUUAUUAGGGAAGAACAAAUGUGUAAGUAACUAUGCACGUCUUGACGGUACCUAAUCAGAAAGCCACGGCUAACUACGUG